CGGGGGGGCAAGCGUUGUUCGGAAUUACUGGGCGUAAAGGGCUCGUAGGCGGCCAACUAAGUCAGACGUGAAAUCCCUCGGCUUAACCGGGGAACUGCGUCUGAUACUGGAUGGCUCGAGUUUGGGAGAGGGAUGCGGAAUUCCAGGUGUAGCGGUGAAAUGCGUAGAUAUCUGGAGGAACACCGGUGGCGAAGGCGGCAUACUGGACCAACACUGACGCUGAGUGAGCGAAAGCCAGGGGAGCAAACGGGAUUAGAUACCCCGGUAGUCCUGGCCCUAAACGAUGAAUGCUUGGUGUGGCGGGUAUCGAUCCCUGCCGUGCCGAAGCUAACGCAUUAAGCAUUCCGCCUGGGGAGUACGGUCGCAAGGCUG
RNAcentral lists this ribosomal RNA (372 nucleotides) under uncultured organism. RNAcentral describes it as "bacterial SSU rRNA". It matches the Rfam family "Bacterial small subunit ribosomal RNA", at positions 527 to 896 of the family's 1533-position model. The record is from RNAcentral.